AGCGAACGCUGGCGGCAGGCCUAACACAUGCAAGUCGAACGGAUCCUUCGGGAUUAGUGGCGGACGGGUGAGUAACACGUGGGAACGUGCCCUUUGGUUCGGAACAACUCAGGGAAACUUGAGCUAAUACCGGAUGUGCCCUUCGGGGGAAAGAUUUAUCGCCAUUGGAGCGGCCCGCGUCUGAUUAGCUAGUUGGUGAGGUAACGGCCCACCAAGGCGACGAUCAGUAGCUGGUCUGAGAGGAUGAUCAGCCACACUGGGACUGAGACACGGCCCAGACUCCUACGGGAGGCAGCAGUGGGGAAUCUUGCGCAAUGGGCGAAAGCCUGACGCAGCCAUGCCGCGUGAAUGAUGAAGGUCUUAGGAUUGUAAAAUUCUUUCAGCGGGGACGAUAGUGACGGUACCCGCAGAAGAAGCUCCGGCUAACUUCGUG
RNAcentral lists this ribosomal RNA (433 nucleotides) under uncultured bacterium. Its description in RNAcentral is "partial 16S ribosomal RNA". It matches the Rfam family "Bacterial small subunit ribosomal RNA", at positions 29 to 507 of the family's 1533-position model. The record is from RNAcentral.